This 1413-nucleotide ribosomal RNA is filed under the name Limnonectes kiziriani. Its description in RNAcentral is "partial 16S ribosomal RNA". It matches the Rfam family "Bacterial large subunit ribosomal RNA", at positions 156 to 2597 of the family's 2925-position model. Lineage: Eukaryota; Metazoa; Chordata; Amphibia; Anura; Dicroglossidae. The record is from RNAcentral.
GCCUAAAAUUAAGCCUAGUCCACCCUAUAUGAGACCCCCACCCUAAUUAAACCCAAUGAAACAUCUUACCAGUUUAGUAAAGGCGAUCAAAACACUUAUUAGCGCUUUAUCCUCCAGUACCGCAAGGGAAUAAUGAAAUAAACCUGAAAUAGACUUUAAGCAAAAUACAGCAGAGACUGCCACUCGUACCUUUUGCAUCAUGGUUUAGUCAGUCUUACUCAAGCAAAGCGAAACAUCAGUUUGACCCCCCGAAACCAGACGAGCUACUUCAAAACAGCUUCAUAGAGCCAACCCAUCUCUGUUGCAAAAGAGUGGGAUGAUUUUUAAGUAGAGGUGAAAAGCCUACCGAGCCUGGAGAUAGCUGGUUAUUCAGGAAAAGAAUUUUAGUUCAACCUUAAGCCUAUACAUUAACCACACAAAACCCAAAGACUUAAGAGCCACUCAAAUAAGGCACAGCUUAUUUGACAAAGGAGACAACCUAUAAAAAAGGGUAAAAAUUUUUUACAGCUUAAGUGGGCCUAAAAGCAGCCACCUUUAAAAAAGCGUUAAAGCUUGUUCUUCCAUUGAAAUUAAUUUCUAAAAAUUUCUUAAACCCUUUACCCCUACUGAAUGAUUCUAUACUACUUCUAUAGAAGACCUAAUGCUAAAACUAGUAACAAGAAAUUGAAUUUCUCCAAAACGUAAGUAUAAACCAAAAAGGACAAACCAUUGGUAAUUAACGUUAAUGAAAACUAUAUAGCAACUUCUUCAAGAAAACCCUAUUUUCACCAACGUUAAUCUCACACAAGCACACUUCUGGAAAGAUUAAAAGAAAGGGAAGGAACUCGGCAAAUUUUAACCCCGCCUGUUUACCAAAAACAUCGCCUCUUGCUAAUCUAUAAGAGGUCCAGCCUGCCCAGUGACACAAUUAAACGGCCGCGGUACCCUGACCGUGCGAAGGUAGCAUAAUCACUUGUUCUCUAAAUAGGGACUAGUAUCAACGGCAUCACGAGGGUUAUACUGUCUCCCCUCUCUAAUCAGUGAAACUGACCUCCCCGUGAAGAGGCGGGGAUAAAAGUACAAGACGAGAAGACCCCAUGGAGCUUUAAACCCAAUGACAACCUCUAUCAUCUACUUCCUUUAAACACAGAAGCUAUGUUCAUUGGUUUUAGGUUGGGGUGACCACGGAGCAUAAAAAACCCUCCAUGACGAAUAGAUAUUCAUCCUAAUCCCAGAGCUACUGCUCUAAGAAUCAAAAAUUUGACGUACUAUGAUCCGGCAACCGAUCAACGAACCAAGUUACCCUGGGGAUAACAGCGCAAUCCAUUUUAAGAGCCCUUAUCGACAAAUGGGUUUACGACCUCGAUGUUGGAUCAGGGUAUCCCAGUGGUGCAGCCGCUACUAAAGGUUUGUUUGUUCAACAAUUAAAACCCU